CGGGGGGAGCAAGCGUUGUUCGGAUUUACUGGGCGUAAAGGGCGCGUAGGCGGCGCAACAAGUCACUUGUGAAAUCUCCGGGCUUAACCCGGAGCGGCCAAGUGAUACUGUCGUGCUAGAGUGCGGAAGGGGCUACUGGAAUUCUCGGUGUAGCGGUGAAAUGCGUAGAUAUCGAGAGGAACACCUGCGGCGAAGGCGGGUAGCUGGGCCGACACUGACGCUGAGGCGCGAAAGCCAGGGGAGCGAACGGGAUUAGAUACCCCGGUAGUCCUGGCCUUAAACGAUGGAUGCUUGGUGUCCGGGGUUACCUAGUCCCCGGGUGCCGGCGCUAACGCAUUAAGCAUCCCGCCUGGGGAGUACGGUCGCAAGACUG
This 373-nucleotide ribosomal RNA is filed under the name uncultured organism. RNAcentral's name for it is "bacterial SSU rRNA". It matches the Rfam family "Bacterial small subunit ribosomal RNA", at positions 526 to 896 of the family's 1533-position model. The record is from RNAcentral.